Non-coding RNA from Caenorhabditis elegans, 21 nucleotides. NCBI's taxonomy places the organism in Eukaryota, Metazoa, Nematoda, Chromadorea, Rhabditida, Rhabditidae. The record is from Ensembl.
UCGAAGAUGACGAUGACCUUA